RNAcentral lists this ribosomal RNA (252 nucleotides) under uncultured bacterium. RNAcentral's name for it is "partial 16S ribosomal RNA". It matches the Rfam family "Bacterial small subunit ribosomal RNA", at positions 524 to 776 of the family's 1533-position model. The record is from RNAcentral.
UACGAAGGGGGCUAGCGUUGCUCGGAAUACUGGGCGUAAAGCGUGCGCAGGCGGCUAUGCAAGACAGAUGUGAAAUCCCCGGGCUCAACCUGGGAACUGCGUUUGUGACUGUAUGACUAGAGUACGGUAGAGAGGGGUGGAAUUCCUGGUGUAGCAGUGAAAUGCGUAGAUAUCAGGAGGAACAUCGAUGGCGAAGGCAGCCCCUUGGACCUGUACUGACGCUCAUGCACGAAAGCGUGGGGAGCAAACAGG